RNAcentral lists this long non-coding RNA (858 nucleotides) under Nicotiana benthamiana. RNAcentral's name for it is "long non-coding RNA (NBEN_LNC041201)". The record is from RNAcentral. Lineage: Eukaryota; Viridiplantae; Streptophyta; Magnoliopsida; Solanales; Solanaceae.
UAAACGAAAUAAAUAAGCACUACUUAAAGAUGUAAUAUUAUUACCUUAAAAAAAUAUUCGGAUUUGUAUGCGGUUGCUAAAUAAGCAGCAGUAUUUGCCUCGACUACAUCAUCUGUAGCUAGUUAUAUCCUAACUCUUAGUAUGGUCCAUUCUCAUAACCUUCAUCUUCCACAACUUCUUCUGUAUAUACAAAUCUCUUAGCUUUAGGUUUACUAAAAAUACUCCAUCCUUAAUUGAAAACAUCAUCACAUAGUACACCAUAUUUAUGCUUGAGAUACUUAGAUGUAAGGCUCAUGUAGUCACCCUCAAUCUCGAGUUAUUAUAUAAAAAGUCGGAGUUUAUUUUCUUUUUCCAAAUAAAUAAAACAUCAGUAGCAUACAAAUAAUUUACUUGCCUAAUGAUCUUUAUAUGCUAGAAUUAUUCAAAUUUGAAGGAAUAUAUAAAAUAUGUUCAAAAACUUAUGCGAGUCGUCGAUUACAACAAAAUGAGUCAACUUACCUGAUAGCGGAUUUGAAAUUACACCAUGUCCAGUACUCUUAGAAACAUGCACAUCUGCAAUAAUGAUAUAAUGCAAGAUAUUUUACUAAAGGAAAUUUUCAUUUGAAGUAAUUCAUUUUCUAAGGAAAGUGAAGAACUAAACUACUAAAGUAUGAGCUAGAGAAGGAAAAAUUUGUCACCAUAAUAAGUAAAAGAGAAGCAUUCAUUAAAGACCAUGUACUGUCUUGAUAUUCCUGAAUAUGGAAAUGAGAAAAAUGUUAGGAAGUCCCUGACUGAAUAAUCCGCUUUAUGUUCUCCCAUCAGCGCCGGCUCUAACGUGAUGAGGGGUAAGGCAUAGGCCUUAGGCCUGCAAAUAUUGGG